CCUACGGGAGGCAGCAGUGAGGAAUAUUGGUCAAUGGGCGAGAGCCUGAACCAGCCAAGUAGCGUGAGGGAAGACGGUCCUAUGGAUUGUAAACCUCUUUUGCCGGGGAGCAAAAAGCAGUAUGUAUACCGCUUUGAGAGUACCUGGAGAAAAAGCAUCGGCUAACUCCGUGCCAGCAGCCGCGGUAAUACGGAGGAUCCGAGCGUUAUCCGGAUUUAUUGGGGUUAAAGGGUGCGGAGGCGGGCUGUUAAGUCCGGGGGAAAAUUUUGGGGCCUAAACCCCAAAAGGCCGUUGAUACUGGCUUGCUUGAGUAGGCGAGAGGUAUGCGGAAUGCGUGGUGUAGCGGUGAAAUGCUUAGAUAUCACGCAGAACUCCGAUUGCGAAGGCAGCCUGCUGGCGCCUAACUGACGCUGAGGCACGAAAGCGUGGGUAUCGAACAGGAUUAGAUACCCCAGUAGUC
RNAcentral lists this ribosomal RNA (460 nucleotides) under uncultured bacterium. Its description in RNAcentral is "partial 16S ribosomal RNA". It matches the Rfam family "Bacterial small subunit ribosomal RNA", at positions 338 to 795 of the family's 1533-position model. The record is from RNAcentral.